CGCGGGAGAAAAGUAGGACAUU
RNAcentral lists this microRNA (22 nucleotides) under Bombyx mori (domestic silkworm). Its description in RNAcentral is "bmo-miR-2775a". Lineage: Eukaryota; Metazoa; Arthropoda; Insecta; Lepidoptera; Bombycidae. The record is from miRBase by way of RNAcentral.